AUGUAACAGGUUAAGAACUAUUUAAAGGGGGUACAGCCCCUUUAAAAAAGGACACAACCUCUACCAGGGGAUAACCCCACCAUACACCAAGCCCCGUGGGCCUUAAAGCAGCCACCCCCAAAGAUUGGGUCAAAGCUCUACCAACCAAAAACCCGAAAACUAAUGCGACUCCCUACACUCACAGAAAGCUAACCUAUAAUAAUAGAUGAAUCAAUGCUAGAACGAGUAACCAGGACACCACGUCCCCCCAAGCGCCAGCUUACACACCAUUAACAGUAGGACCUCAAUAACAACACCCCCCCGACCAAACAUUGAACACACCCUGUUAAUCCAACCCAGGGGCGCACAAUGGAGUGAUCAAAGUCUGCAAAAGGAACUCGGCAAGCCCAAGACCCGACUGUUUACCAAAAACAUAGCCUUCAGCCAAACAAGUAUUGAAGGUGACGCCUGCC
Molecule: ribosomal RNA, 452 nt
Filed under: Deroptyus accipitrinus (red-fan parrot)
Lineage: Eukaryota; Metazoa; Chordata; Aves; Psittaciformes; Psittacidae
Description: partial 16S ribosomal RNA
Source: RNAcentral